RNAcentral lists this ribosomal RNA (475 nucleotides) under uncultured organism. RNAcentral's name for it is "partial 16S ribosomal RNA". It matches the Rfam family "Bacterial small subunit ribosomal RNA", at positions 333 to 799 of the family's 1533-position model. The record is from RNAcentral.
ACACUCCUGCGGGAGGCAGCAGUGGGGAAUUUUGGACAAUGGGCGAAAGCCUGAUCCAGCAAUGCCGCGUGCAGGAUGAAGGCCUUCGGGUUGUAAACUGCUUUUGUACGGAACGAAAAAGCUCCUUCUAACACAGGGGGCCCAUGACGGUACCGUAAGAAUAAGCACCGGCUAACUACGUGCCAGCAGCCGCGGUAAUACGUAGGGUGCGAGCGUUAAUCGGAAUUACUGGGCGUAAAGCGUGCGCAGGCGGUUAUGUAAGACAGAUGUGAAAUCCCCGGGCUCAACCUGGGAACUGCAUUUGUGACUGCAUGGCUAGAGUACGGUAGAGGGGGAUGGAAUUCCGCGUGUAGCAGUGAAAUGCGUAGAUAUGCGGAGGAACACCGAUGGCGAAGGCAAUCCCCUGGACCUGUACUGACGCUCAUGCACGAAAGCGUGGGGAGCAAACAGGAUUAGAAACCCGAGUAGUCCCAUG